GAUGAACGCUGGCGGCGUGCCUAAUACAUGCAAGUCGAGCGAACAGACGAGGAGCUUGCUCCUCUGACGUUAGCGGCGGACGGGUGAGUAACACGUGGAUAACCUACCUAUAAGACUGGGAUAACUUCGGGAAACCGGAGCUAAUACCGGAUAAUAUAUUGAACCGCAUGGUUCAAUAGUGAAAGGCGGUUUUGCUGUCACUUAUAGAUGGAUCCGCGCCGCAUUAGCUAGUUGGUAAGGUAACGGCUUACCAAGGCAACGAUGCGUAGCCGACCCGAGAGGGUGAGCGGCCACGCUGGAACUGAGACACGGUCCAGACUCCUACGGGAGGCAGCAGUAGGGAAUCUUCCGCAAUGGGCGAAAGCCUGACGGAGCAACGCCGCGUGAGUGAUGAAGGUCUUCGGAUCGUAAAACUCUGUUAUUAGGGAAGAACAAAUGUGUAAGUAACUAUGCACGUCUUGACGGUACCUAAUCAGAAAGCCACGGCUAACUACGUG
Molecule: ribosomal RNA, 497 nt
Filed under: uncultured bacterium
Lineage: Bacteria
Description: partial 16S ribosomal RNA
Rfam family: Bacterial small subunit ribosomal RNA
Source: RNAcentral